Molecule: ribosomal RNA, 253 nt
Filed under: uncultured bacterium
Lineage: Bacteria
Description: partial 16S ribosomal RNA
Rfam family: Bacterial small subunit ribosomal RNA
Source: RNAcentral
GACGAACCGUGCGAACGUUGUUCGGAAUCACUGGGCUUAAAGGGCGCGUAGGCGGGUCGGCAAGUCCGCGGUGAAAUCCCCCCGCUCAACGGGGGAACGGCCGCGGAUACUGCCGGCCUCGAGGGGGGUAGGGGCGAGCGGAACGCUGGGUGGAGCGGUGAAAUGCGUUGAUAUCCAGCGGAACUCCGGUGGCGAAGGCGGCUCGCUGGACCUUCACUGACGCUGAGGCGCGAAAGCCAGGGGAGCGAACGGG